GCAUUGGAGUUCAUUUGACAUGGAUGCCAUCAUAUAGCAUUUUACUCUAAUGUCAUCAUCCAACUACUUUUUAUGCAUCUCACGCUGAACAUCAGUAGAACGUGUUGGUAGUGUGGGUGUUGCCCAAGGUGACAACCCAAGAGGGGGGGUGAAUUGGGUCUUUUAAAACUUUUAAACUACUUCUAAAACUUUUUGAUUAACUAUGCUAAGUUGUCUAGAUGCACAGUGAAAGUUAAACUUAGCAAGGGUUUGAUGUAUAGACUUCGACUUGAUUAAAUAUGCUUGCAACUAAAGGAUGUGCGGAUAAGAAUUAAGCAAGCAAUUUAUCUAAGUAAGUAAGUGUGUUAGUUAGACAAUAACUAGAGGCAUUACAAA
Molecule: long non-coding RNA, 375 nt
Filed under: Phoenix dactylifera (date palm)
Lineage: Eukaryota; Viridiplantae; Streptophyta; Magnoliopsida; Arecales; Arecaceae
Description: long non-coding RNA (PDAC_LNC019638)
Source: RNAcentral